RNAcentral lists this small RNA (876 nucleotides) under Histoplasma capsulatum. RNAcentral's name for it is "hypothetical RNA". RNAcentral also lists the same sequence under 1 other name. The record is from RNAcentral. Lineage: Eukaryota; Fungi; Ascomycota; Eurotiomycetes; Onygenales; Ajellomycetaceae.
CGAUAUUCAGUAAUUGGGACAAUAUUCGGACUUAAUCAGUUCCGACAACACCACUUUAGUAUGCGGUUAUCGACCAUCGAAACGACAUUACAUCUCAAUUGGUGCAAACUAUACAAAACUCUAUGGAGAAAAAAUGAAACAUCUCUCACUUCUCUCUCUUUAUUAUAGAAAAACUAACUUUUCUGUGCAAAAUGCACUGUAACAUGACCUCACAUGAUACAAGUCAUGUGCUCAGAGCAAUCCUCGCCAGAGGGUUUUGAGAUUUUCAUAGAUUCUUCAAAUUUCUCAACUUUGACUUUCAAUUACACAAUAGUCAUAUAUCUUUGAGAUUUGUGAACCACCUUAGAUUGUAGCUAAAGAGAAGGAGAAUAUAAAUAUAUAAUUUUUAUAUUAAAAAAAUCAAUAUUUAAUAUAGAUGUAUCUUGUUGAAAAUGAUCACUUUAUUUCUUGUUGAAAUCAAGUAAAUAGCAAAUCCUUCACGUGUUAAAAAAAAAUGGGUUGACUUUGAGGUGAUACUUCAUAUCUAGGAAAUGGGAAUAUGAAAAUAAAAAUUGAUACCAUCGCGAGAACAUUGAUUUCUCUAGAUUCUAAGGUGGUAGUUUGCUAUCCUCACCCAUACAUAAGGUAUAGAGCAAAUCGUUCCCGUGUUGCUAACAAACUGGAACUGUUUUUGAUAUCCAUCUUGUGAUGAUAUGAAUAUCAGGUUGUACAGAUCACAGAGCUGGCUGUUCUAGAUAUCAUUGCUAGAUAUCCUCGCUGGAUAUCAUUACUAGAUAUCAUCAUCAAUAUAUACCAUUGGUAGAUAUCAUUCAUUCAAGCAGGCAGAUAAUAAGACAGAUAGACAGUCAGAUAGUCAUUUAAUAAGCCAGUAUUGUC